UUUGUACAUCCUAGGACGACUUCUGGAGACAGAUUUCUUCCCUUCGGGGACCUAGUGACAGGUGCUGCAUGGCUGUCGUCAGCUCGUGUCGUGAGAUGUUGGGUUAAGUCCCGCAACGAGCGCAACCCUCGUCCUUAGUUGCCAUCAUUAAGUUGGGCACUUUAAGGAAACUGCCGGUGAUAAGCCGGAGGAAGGUGGGGAUGACGUCAAGUCCUCAUGGCCCUUACAGGCUGGGCUACACACGUGCUACAAUGGCAUCUACAGUGGGCAGCUAUUCCGCAAGGAUGCGCUAAUCUCCAAAAGAUGUCUCAGUUCGGAUUGUCCUCUGCAACUCGAGGGCAUGAAGGCGGAAUCGCUAGUAAUCGCGGAUCAGCAUGCCGCGGUGAAUACGUUCCCAGGCCUU
RNAcentral lists this ribosomal RNA (403 nucleotides) under uncultured Porphyrobacter sp. RNAcentral describes it as "bacterial SSU rRNA". It matches the Rfam family "Bacterial small subunit ribosomal RNA", at positions 979 to 1382 of the family's 1533-position model. The record is from RNAcentral. Lineage: Bacteria; Pseudomonadati; Pseudomonadota; Alphaproteobacteria; Sphingomonadales; Erythrobacteraceae.